Paramuricea clavata is the source of this 472-nucleotide non-coding RNA. NCBI's taxonomy places the organism in Eukaryota, Metazoa, Cnidaria, Anthozoa, Malacalcyonacea, Plexauridae. The record is from the annotation of a GenBank genome assembly.
GUUCAACAUUAUGACCUCAUGCUGUGGAAGCACGAAUACGAAAUGUCUUAAAACAUCUUAAGAUACUUAUAAAGGAAAAUGGAAAGAUUUGGAAAAAAUAACUGGUCAUUAUUUCGACAAAUUGAACCGGUCCCACAAGUGUGGAUGUCUUUUCCAUCCUUUAAUUAUAACACAAUUAUUGAAUUUGGUUUUCGCCAGAUAUGAAGAAUCAGCAAGUCAAAAGGGCUUUGUAAUUCAUAUCAUGCUCAACCUCAUUCAGUAAUUAUUAAAUAUCGCGCAAAUUUAAAUACAUUUAAGUGUAUCAAGUGGUGUUGAUCCACUGAUUCCUACCUGUAGGUUAAUGCUUUCUAUUUUAGGUUUUGAAAGUCCAAGCUCACUUGAUGAACAUGUCUGUGAAGUCGAAUACUGGUUCAGAGAACAUAACUACUCUUGCAGAUUUUUGCAUUAAAUCUUCAUCUAACAAUAACUGUAU